Molecule: ribosomal RNA, 309 nt
Filed under: uncultured bacterium
Lineage: Bacteria
Description: partial 16S ribosomal RNA
Rfam family: Bacterial small subunit ribosomal RNA
Source: RNAcentral
AGAGACAGCAGCAGCCGCGGGAAUACAGAGGGUGCGAGCGUUAAUCGGAUUUACUGGGCGUAAAGCGUGCGUAGGCGGCUUCUUAAGUCGGAUGUGAAAUCCCUGAGCUUAACUUAGGAAUUGCAUUCGAUACUGGGAAGCUAGAGUAUGGGAGAGGAUGGUAGAAUUCCAGGUGUAGCGGUGAAAUGCGUAGAGAUCUGGAGGAAUACCGAUGGCGAAGGCAGCCAUCUGGCCUAAUACUGACGCUGAGGUACGAAAGCAUGGGGAGCAAACAGGAUUAGAUACCCGCGUAGUCCCUGUCUCUUAACC